GGCUGGUCUGACGGCAGUGAGUUAUCUCAACUGAUUGUUCACAGUCAGCUACAGAUUGAACUUUUUGUUCUUCCCUUCUCACUAUUGCACCUGUCAAAA
Molecule: non-coding RNA, 99 nt
Filed under: Saimiri boliviensis boliviensis (Bolivian squirrel monkey)
Lineage: Eukaryota; Metazoa; Chordata; Mammalia; Primates; Cebidae
Source: RNAcentral